GAUGAACGUUGGCGGUGUGCCUAAUACAUGCAAGUCGAACGGAGACUGUAGCAAUACUGUCUUAGUGGCGAACGGGUGAGUAACGCGUUGGUGAUCUGCCUCGAAGUGUGGAAUAACCUCCCGAAAGGGAAGCUAAUACCGCAUAGUCUCUCAAGGUUUAGAAAAUUGAGAGUAAAGGAUUUAUUCGCUUCGAGAGGAGCCUGCGUCCCAUCAGCUAGUUGGUAGGGUAACGGCCUACCAAGGCAAUGACGGGUAGGGGACCUGAGAGGGUGAUCCCCCACACUGGUACUGAGACACGGACCAGACUCCUACGGGAGGCAGCAGUGAGGAAUAUUGGUCAAUGGGCGGAAGCCUGAACCAGCCAUCCCGCGUGCAGGAAGACAGCCCUAUGGGUUGUAAACUGCUUUUCCAGUGGGCGAACCCCUCGUACGUGUACGGGAUUGACGGUACACUGGGAAUAAGCAUCGGCUAACUCCGUG
This 479-nucleotide ribosomal RNA is filed under the name uncultured bacterium. RNAcentral's name for it is "bacterial SSU rRNA". It matches the Rfam family "Bacterial small subunit ribosomal RNA", at positions 28 to 507 of the family's 1533-position model. The record is from RNAcentral.